Non-coding RNA from Trichonephila clavipes, 75 nucleotides. The record is from the annotation of a GenBank genome assembly. NCBI's taxonomy places the organism in Eukaryota, Metazoa, Arthropoda, Arachnida, Araneae, Nephilidae.
GUCCCUGUAGCACAAUGGAAAGUGCGUUGGACUUAUAAUCCAAAGGGGACGUGGCUUCGAAUCCCACCAGGGAUG